This 253-nucleotide ribosomal RNA is filed under the name uncultured Actinomycetales bacterium. Its description in RNAcentral is "partial 16S ribosomal RNA". It matches the Rfam family "Bacterial small subunit ribosomal RNA", at positions 524 to 776 of the family's 1533-position model. Lineage: Bacteria; Bacillati; Actinomycetota; Actinomycetes; Actinomycetales. The record is from RNAcentral.
GACGUAGGGCGCAAGCGUUGUCCGGAUUUAUUGGGCGUAAAGAGCUCGUAGGCGGCUUGUCACGUCGUCCGUGAAAACUUCAGGCUUAACCUGGAGCGUGCGGUCGAUACGGGCUGGCUAGAGGCAGGUAGGGGAGAUCGGAAUUCCUGGUGUAGCGGUGAAAUGCGCAGAUAUCAGGAGGAACACCGGUGGCGAAGGCGGAUCUCUGGGCCUGUACUGACGCUGAGGAGCGAAAGCGUGGGGAGCGAACAGG